UUUGCCCUUCACUCAUCAGCAUUAAAAAAAUCUAAAGUUAACAAAGCACCAUACAGGAUCCAGACGCCCUGUGUAUUUCCCAUCCUAUGUGACUUAUUCUUUUUAUAUUACUUUACUCCUUUUUUAUGAACUUCAUUAUUUUUAAACUCUUUUAAUGGCUGCUUUUAUUCAUUUUUCCCUUUUUUUAGCAUCUAAGUAUAUUUUUAAACAUUGUACUUAUUCAGAGAUUUCUUUUCAGUCUGAACCUGACUUUUUGUGUGUCUGCAGCCUUUUCUGACUGUGUGAGCCAAGCCUUAAAUGGCAUGGCUCUGCUUAGUACAUGGCACUGGCAGCUGGCUCUGCCCACUUUGGGUCUACAGGCAGCAGUGAGAACCAUGUCUAACUGUCCCAGCUCUGGGAAGUUGCUGAGCCCACUUUCCAGAGUCCCCAAGAGCUGUAGCUGACCGUUGUGAGUGUUCACAGAGAAGCCCAAAUAGCAACUGUGGCAGCACUGGCAGGCAUGACUUCUCUAUUGGUGUGGUUGUGCCAUGCAUUGGAGUGCCAAAUGUAGUUGGACUUUCUUGGCCCGCCAGACCCCAAAUAAUGACAUGGAGACUUAUUGUUAAUUAUGAAAGUUUGGCCUUUACCUUAAGCUUUUUCCCAACUAGCACUUAUAACUUAAAUUAACCCGCUUCUAUUAAUCUACAUUCUGCUACAUGGCUCAUUAGCUUUCCUCCAUAACUUAUGUCUGCCUCCCUCUGUAUCUUGCUGGCAUCUCUCAAUUCUCUUCCCAGAGUUCUUCUCUCUUCCCUGAAGUCCCACCUGUUCUCUCCUGCCUAGCUAUUGGACAUUCAGGCUCAUUAUUAAACCAAUCAGGCAUCUUAGGCAAGCAAGGUAAAACAGUAAAUUUUACAGUUUGCUCAGAUAUCCCACAACAUACCUCAGCUGCAUGAGUCCAUGGUUGGAGACUUCUCCAGGCUCUUCUUACCCACACUCUGCAUCUGGCCUGGGACCUGUGUGCUUACUAACCUUGGGCUUUUUUCAUGCUUGUACAUUUGUGUGUUCUACUGUGGUCUUACUAGUGUGGUGUCUUCAGGACAUAUGACAUUUCUUACCUGCUAACUGUGGGUUCUAAGCUGUGUAUCCCCAGAGAUAGACUACCAAGCAAUCUGCACCCCCUUUUUAACCUACUCGAUGAAGAUGGGUAGCAAUCUUUUCUGUUCCCAUGUUCUUGUAAGAAACAAGUGCCCACGGUUGGCCCUCCUUCAAGAGCAGAGGGAAUCAGACCCUUCUCCUGGAACCUGUAUCAAAGACUGAAAGACUUGGCUGACACAUUUUCUAUCCCACAGAAGCCUAAGGCAUAGUCUGAGGUCAUCCUAUUUAUAUCCUGUGUCUGUGACAAGUCUUUUGAGGUCUCUCAGGACUAGCAACCCAUUUUUGAGAUGAGGAAGGUUCCUAUAUCAUCAUGCAAACAAGUAUGUUUUCUGAGAUUAAAUGAUUGAGCCAUCUGUUUAGGAUGGAAACUCCCAUGUUUAAAUUACAUAUAUUAGAGUAGAUUUUAAAUUAAUAAACCCAUAGAUAUAAAGCCUCAGAAGGGCUGGGCAGUGGACAAGAAAGUGGCCUUGACUUUGGAUUGGAAUAAUAGUCACAGAAACUCAAGUCUGUGAAAGGUGAUGGAUUCUAGCUUGACUUGUCACCAGUUGCCUCGUGAGGCUGAGGUGGUGAGCAGAGUUCAGGGACAUCCAUGCUGCUGGUUGCUGGUUCUAGAAACUUCAGUGUGAAUGGCACUUAGCAUUCCUUGUCAGACACUGAAUUAUGUGGAUAAUUAUGCUAUCAGAAGGGACUCCGGAAGCUCAGUGAAGUCAGAUACACUUCAAAGCGGAACUCAAAGGCCCCUAGUAAGGAAACUGGCUGCAUGUUAGCAUGUGUGAUGCCAGGUACUUGAGAAAACCCACUCUGGGGACUAGCUUGAAGGAGCUAGGGAAGGACAAGUGUCCCUCAAGCCAGCAGGUCAGAACUCCCUGACUCAUAGCAUUGAGUUUAUCCCAAGCAGCCUUUCACUAAUGCCCUUGUGAGCACAAAGUGCUAGGCAAGUUCCAAAAUGCCAAGUGUGAGCAGCGGAAGUGCCUAAGCACCAGGAGAAGUGAGCCAGCCCUGCAUUUCCUGUGCGGUCCAUACACUAAUCCCAGCACCACCAUCUCAGUACUGACCCAGGUAGGGGAAUUUUUCACUUUUGAGUUUCAGUGUUGUGGACAGAUUCCCUGGAGAGGCCAGGCCCUGAGCAGGCACGUCUUAUCCUGGCUGGCAGCAUGUACUCUAGCAAACAGAACAGAAGUGUAAGAAUCAGUGAGGGCUGUAGCCCACUUGUAGACCACUGGCCUUGCACGUGUGAAACCCAGGGUUUGAUCUCCUGUACCACAAAAACGAAUUUAAAGGGAGAGAAAACGGAAGUAAUAAUACUUGUUUGGAAAACUUAUCUCCAUAAAGGGUAAACAGGAUGUUUCCUUUAUUUCUUUUUAAAACCAGGAUUUCUCAGCAGUUAUAUUAUAUCACCAUGUGUCUUAGGGUUUCUACUGCUGUGAAGAGACACCAUGACCAUAGCAACUCUUAUAAAAUAUUUAAUUAGGGUGGCUUACAUUUUUAGAGGUUUAGUCCAUUUAUCAUGGUGCAACAUGGUGGUGUGCAGUCAGACAUGGUGCUGGAGAAGUAGCCCAGUGCCCUAUAUCUUGCAGGCAACAGGAAGUGAACUGAGACACUGGGUGGUAUCUUGAGCAUAUAUGAGACCUCAAGCUUGCCUCCACAGUGACACACUUCCUCCAACAAAACCACAUCUUCUCCAACAAGGCCACACCUCCUAAUAGUGCCACUCCCUUUGAGGGCCAUUUUCUUUCAAACCACCACAGUAUGCAAUACUCAUUCUCUAACCCCAGUGUGUCUCAGCACCUAUAUUACAUCAUUGCGCGUUCCCUAACCCCAGUAUGUAGCACUUUCCACACUAUUUGAAUGUCAGACCAUUUCUAGUAUUCCCUAGUCUGGGUCAAUGCUGAAACGGUGAUGCAGGAUCAUAUAUAUAUAUAUAAAUGGUGAUGCAGGAUCAGUGUGAUGACCACACAGACUAUGCAGCAACUCACCUCUUGGGGAAUAGGUAUUAAGGUGACUACUUUUGGGACAUGCUGUCCUAGACUAGAGUGGCUCAAAAUGUGGCCCUAGGAAUAGACAACUCAGAGACAAACUUGUUAACCGUUGGUAAUGAGGUGAGGACAGAAAUUAGCAGCAAACUUCUAGAAAAUUUUGUGGCAACUGGACACAGCGUUUCUGUGUUUUUUGAACCUAAUAGUAAGUAAUAAGAUUUGUGUUUGUUUCACUAAUUUCAUUGUCCUGGAAACUGACUUUGAGAGGUCUUUUUGUUUUGUUUUGUUUUUUAUCUGUGUAUAGGAUCCUGAAAAAUUGAAAAGUUUGUCCUUUCCUUCCCAAGUUAAGAGCCUUCAUCAGGGCUGGAGGGAUGCUCAGAAGUUAACAAAACUUGCUGCUCUGGUAGAAGACUCAGGUUCCAUUCCCAGUACCUACACAGUGGCUCCCAACCUCGUAACUCCAGUUCCAUCUGGGACUCUUCUGGCUUCUGCUAGCACCAGGCUCACACAUGGGGCACAUGCCUCCACACCUACUGUGUGUGUUGCUGGAGAUUAAACCCCAGGCUCUGGGCAUGUUAGGUAAUAGUAGCUAAUCAGCUUCAUGUAUAGAAAGAAUGCAGGUCGCAGAUAAGGAUUGCUCCCACUAAAGUCCUUCAAACAGGAUUGGAACUCACAAAGUCCCACAGAGCUCCAUUUCACCACAGAAGCCUCUCCUGUCCCCUGGAAGAAUCUGCCUCACACUAAACAGGAAGCCCCUGGCAGGAGGCCACAGUAGAUUGAGUCUCCCACGUCCAGAUGUGACUUCAUUGUUCCUGAUUUAUGAAGGUAAGACACAAAGCCGCACAGAAGCCUGAGGGCUAGUCAUAUUGUGUUAUUCAUCUUACAAUCUAUGGUGAAAAGAGUUGAAUGAUAUAUCUACCCCUUGGUAAUAGGACAGAGGAUGUCUGCCCUUCACAGACAUGGGCUGACCGGUCUGUCUCUUCCCAUUGUUUUGGGAAGAUCAUUUUUCUCUCAAUAGAAUCAGCGAAUGUGUCACACAGAGCCUUCCAGAUUCAAUAUUCUGAACUUUGUUAACUGUCUGGCAUGAGUUCUCUUUCUAAGUUCUGGGACCUGUGUCUUCCAUUCUCUGAAUCUCUGAAUCUUUGUUACAACAUGGGAGUUCAGCUGUCUCUAAUGCAGAGAAGUCUCAAUCCCCAUGUUUAGGAGGAAAAGGGAUGUUUCUGUCUGACUGUAGCAAGAGGGCAGGAGAGAUGCAUAGUGCAGGUCUGCCUUCCAGAAUUCUUGUCUCCUGUCGCUUUGAACCUUUAGCUGCCCUCUGUCAUUGCUCGGUCUGUCGGACAGUGACUAUAGGGGUACCUGCCAGGGGACUGUAUGAUUCCUGAGUUAUUUCAUAGCUGUUAGUAAAGAUUCCUCAGUGACCAAGUCCCUCCCUAGAGCUGCCCAGCAAGGACCAGCUAUUUGAAUCAGUACAUGCUUCAUUCUAGUGUGGGUUUUUUUCUGUCCAACAUUGAAUUCCUAGGACAAUGCCUGAAUCACGGUCCUUGCUGCAGUAUCCAUGUGGGUCCAGUCAGGAGGCAGAAACCAUAAAACGAUUUGAACAAGGGGAAGACACCUCUAAAGCACUAUUGAGCAGCAAGAGAGGUAACUGUAAGCAUGGAAAGAGGAGCCUAGUGGGCACCCUAGGGCCAGGAAAGUGCACAGGGAAGGGCAAACUUAGAGGGGAUGUGCAUGAGUUAGAUUUACACCCAUGUGAUAGACUACCAGCACAAACAGUACAGGGGGAGAAAGAUUUCUUCCACUUGUGGCUUCAGAAGUGUCAGUCUACCAUGAAGGGGCAGGUGUGCGAAAUCCAGCACAUCACACCAUGGAGGCCAGGAAGCAGAGAAAUUGCAAAUGGGAUCAUGAGCCAGGUAUAUCAUCCCGAGCAUGACCCAGAGGACCUACUUGCUCCAACUAGACCCCACCCCAUAAAGUUUCUACCUUCUGCCAACACAAUGCCACAAGGUGGACAGCAAGUGUUCAACACAUGAGCCUGUGGAACGCAUUCUGUAUUCAAACCACAAUGAAGGGGCUCUCUCAUCCAGGAAAGCUUGGUUGUAGGACACUAGGCAACACACUCUUCAGGGUGGUCUUGGCCAGAACUGAGCCAGGUCACAGGCUACAGCAACAGUCUUUGGGUACAGGGUUAAGCAAGGUGCAUAGAGAGGUCAAGGCGUAGCUGCUGGCCUGAGGCUUGGAGCAUACUGGUGUCUGUGUAGAGAGACCUUCAGCAGGGUAGUCAUUAAGAAGGUCCAAGGGCCUGAAACCGCUUGUGUGCUAGGGCAGAAUGCCACAAGGUGUUCUCUACAUGACCCCAACUAUGCAUAGGCACCAACCACCAGCAGGACAGCAGGAGCAUCAUAGAAGCAGCCCACGUAGUAAAAUAUGCAGUGUCCCUUCCCUCUCCUGACCUCUACUGGCGGAUCUAAGCAUUGCCCUUAUGAUAAAGGGGACUGGUUCACGAGACCUUCCAGCUGCCACAGAUCAGGUCCUUAAAGGGGGAAUUUGGAGCAGUUAGAUGAUAAAUUGAUAACUGAAAUACCAGGCUAAAAACUGUGGAAUUUACCCACAAUAUAGAAAAGCAUGACAUUAUUAAGUAUUAUGUUUUAGAAAACUGUUUAGCAUUUCCUUGGGGUUGAAUGGUGUUGAACACCUGUCUUUUGCCCAUACAUCACAUGCCUUCCAUGGAGCGAUCCUUAGCCCACUUUUGAGUUGGGUUAUUUGGUGUUUUAUCAAAUGUUUGUUGUCGCUGUUUGCAGUUGUGUUGAAGGAGUGCUUGUGUAUUUUGGGUAGUCUAAGUGGUCUGCAAAUAUUUCCUCACAUCCUGUAGGCUGUUUUCACUGCCAGCUGUUUCUGUGUUGUGUGGAACAUUUGGCCUCACAUAGUCCUGCUUCUUUUUGGUCAUGUGUAGGAAAUCAUUGCAAAGACAAAUGUCAACACGUUUCUCCCCUGUAAUUUCAGGAAUUUUUAUACUUUAGCUCUUUAACCCAUUGUUGUUAUUUUGGGGAGAAUGGCAUAAAACUGGGGUUCAAUUUCACAAUUCUUCAUUUGGCUGUCCAGUUUUCUCAAGACCAGAUGUUCAAGAGAGAGACUGUCUUUUUCUUAGUGACUGUUCAUAGCACCCUGUCAGAGACCAGUUGACAAGUCCAGAGCCUCCCGUCCAGUGAGAGAUCCUGUGCUGAAGCAGUAAGGAUGGGAGUGAUAGGCAAAGACACACGUGAUGGCUUGCUCUGGUGUCGGCACCUGUGCAUUUGUGGGUACAUGCACAUACAUGUACAUGUGUCACCCAUCUGCCACACACAGAAAUAAAUAAAGGCAUUGACUGUACUUCAAUACAGCGGUGUUUCUUCAAUAAAGAGGUCUGUUUAGCACUUGGAGAAGUAUCUUUGUGAUCUGUUUUCUCAGUGGGCCUGGCAUGUGAGAAUUCUUUCCUUCUGGCACUGAGGGGAGGAUACUGAAGGAGGAUCUGCAUAUGCAAGGCAAGUACUUCUCCACGGAGUCCCCUCCCAAGCCUUUCUCCAUGAUGUAGUAAGUAAACAAAGCAGAUUCCUCAGAGUCAGCACACUGUAGUACUAAUUUGAUUAAAAAAAAAAAAAGCAAAUUCCUGUUUUUCAAAGGACGGUGUCUGAUGCAUUUUCUUCUUCACACUGCCUGUCACCCCCCACCCACUGCCUUUUCUUUAUGUGAUGAGAAUGAGAGAAUAUAAUGAACUGAGGGUUCCAGUUCUUCUCAUCUGCCUCAGCCACGCUCAGGAGGAGCUGGGGAGAAAGCGUUUAAUUGUCUAGACUCAC
Molecule: long non-coding RNA, 6940 nt
Organism: Peromyscus californicus insignis
Lineage: Eukaryota; Metazoa; Chordata; Mammalia; Rodentia; Cricetidae
Exons: 3
Source: RefSeq, a predicted model, not a curated record